This is an RNA transcript of Etheostoma spectabile (orangethroat darter), 2073 nucleotides long. It is a transcript of the gene named neuronal pentraxin IIb, with no coding region annotated. NCBI's taxonomy places the organism in Eukaryota, Metazoa, Chordata, Actinopteri, Perciformes, Percidae. The transcript has 6 exons. The record is from RefSeq and is a predicted model, not a curated record.
UCAGAGGAGCUGUCCGAUCGGCACCACACUGUUUGCGACAGAAAUAGUUCCUUUUACACAAGCCACAUUAACCGGGCUUACAGUGGCCGAGUCACCCUUGAUCGGAUUUUCUGCUCAGAAUUUCCUUCAUUUCGUUGGUCAGGCAUGGCACUACUUUGUAGAAAUAGUUGUAGGCCUACGUGUUGCUUUUGGAGUGGACCUGUUUAGGAUUCACUUUUACGCGCUAAACUUACGAGUAGAUUUUGUUAGAGAGCUUUUCACUUGGCAGUAAACGCCGCCAGUAUGCUUUCCCACUUGUACGGAUUGUUAUGUUUUUGUGCACUGGGCUGCGGUCGAUUAGCGAGCGGCCAGGCGGACGAUGGGAAGCGGUAUAUCUGCCGGGCAAUACCCCUCAGCGGCGACGCCAGUUGCCCUGUGACAUUGUUACCCGAGCUAAACGCCGGGAGCCAGGAAGAGGAGCUCAGAAACACCGUCAUGCAGCUAAGGGAGACAAUCUUACAGCAGAAAGAAACGAUUUCCAAACAGAGAGGCACCAUCAACGAGCUGACCACCAAGCUGUCGCUCUGCGCCUCGGCCACGGAUGAUAGAAUUAACGAAAAGGGGGGUUCCUGGGGCAAAGAAAAGCAAAAUACAAUGGGCGACGUUCCCAGAGAUCCAAAUGACACCAUCGACAGUCUUGGAAAAACCAUGCAAGGGCUCAAGGAUCGGUUGGAGAACUUGGAGCAACAGCAGCUGCGAGCCAACGUGUCUGGCGCCUCGUUUCCCAGCGAGCUCCGCGACCUGCUGCAGCGUCGGCUCGGGCAGCUGGAGAAGCAGCUCCUGAAGAAAGUCACCAACCUGGAGCAGGAGAAGAGCAUGCUGUCCAAUGCCACAGCCGCCUACAGGCUGAAGACAGAGAGCACGCUGAACGCCCUGGUGGACAGGAUCAGUGAGCUGGAGAAAGGAGGAGGAGACUUCAAGUCCCCAGAGCAGUUUAAGCUGUCCCUCCCCCAGCGGACCAACUACCUGUAUGGCCGCAUCACCAAGAGCCUGCCAGAGAUGUACGCCUUCACACUCUGCAUGUGGAUCAAGUCCAGCGCCAGUCCUGGCAUUGGGACGCCCUUCUCUUAUGGCGUGCCAGGGCAAGCCAAUGAGAUUGUGCUGAUCGAAUGGGGCAAUAACCCAAUAGAGCUGCUCAUCAAUGACAAGGUCGCCCAGUUGCCUUUGGAGGUACGUGAUGGAAAGUGGCACCACAUCUGCAUCUCCUGGACCACGCGGGACGGCCAAUGGGACGCUUACCAAGACGGAGGAAAGCUGGGAACUGGCGACAACCUGGCGGCCUGGCACCCCAUCAAACCCGGGGGGGUCAUUAUCCUGGGGCAGGAGCAGGACGUAGUGGGCGGGCGCUUUGAUGCCGGACAGGCCUUCGUGGGCGAGCUGAGUCAGGUGAACAUUUGGGACCGUAUUCUGAAGCCGGUCGAGAUCCAGUCCAUGGCUAACUGCAGCUCUUACAUCCCUGGGAAUGUGAUUUCUUGGCUAGCAACCAACGUUGAAGUUUUUGGAAGGGGAGCGUUCAAGCGACCCUUGGAGAUGUGUCUCGAACGACUGCCCAAUGCUUAAAACUCAUCUGUCUGCCAUUCUGCUUUUUUUUAAUCGUCUGCUCUUACUGUGAGGCAGUUUAUGUACUUAAAGGAGACAUAUCAUGCUCCAUUUCAUGUUCAUACUUGUAUUUUAGGUUUCUUCUAGAACAUGUUUUUAUGCUAUCAUGUUGUACAUUGAUGAAUUUAGUUUGAUCUGCUCUGUACGGCGAGAUAUUUGAGAUUUGUGACCCAGACAAGAGGUCAUGUGGAGGCUAAAUACCAUCAUUGACUGAUGGCUCUUUCUUUAAAGUGUCAAUCAGAGAGCUUUGUAGCAACAUUUCUUUAUUUACCAUGACUAAAAUACUUUAUUCCUCCAAUACACCCACCACCAUGGUUAAGGGUUCCCACAGGUAUCAAUGCUCAGACAUCAUGUGCAUCCUCAUCCCCACACAGUCUCCCACACACCCCUCCCUCACCACUCAGUAAUGAAAAUCCUCUCUAGCACAGACAGCCU